UACGGAGGGUGCUAGCGUUGUUCGGAAUCACUGGGCGUAAAGGGCUCGUAGGCGGCCAACUAAGUCGGACGUGAAAUCCCUCGGCUUAACCGGGGAACUGCGUCCGAUACUGGAUGGCUUGAGUUUGGGAGAGGGAUGCGGAAUUCCAGGUGUAGCGGUGAAAUGCGUAGAUAUCUGGAGGAACACCGGUGGCGAAGGCGGCAUCCUGGACCAAUACUGACGCUGAGGAGCGAAAGCCAGGGGAGCAAACGGG
Molecule: ribosomal RNA, 253 nt
Filed under: uncultured bacterium
Lineage: Bacteria
Description: partial 16S ribosomal RNA
Rfam family: Bacterial small subunit ribosomal RNA
Source: RNAcentral